Molecule: non-coding RNA, 909 nt
Organism: Hydra vulgaris (swiftwater hydra)
Lineage: Eukaryota; Metazoa; Cnidaria; Hydrozoa; Anthoathecata; Hydridae
Source: RefSeq, a predicted model, not a curated record
ACGAAAUAUACAUUUAUUAUUUAAACGUAAAAAUUGGGACUGUUUUGGUCACGAUUAUUAAUAUUUCAUAGGGGGUGCGUCGUGUACAAGUCCGCCAAUUAUGCAAAAAUAUAUGCAAUCCAUAUAGUCUAUAUUAUAGAAAUAAAAGUUCAACUAAUCCUUUACUAGUAGUAAAGGGUUAGUUGAACAAUUAUUUCUAUAAUAUAGACUAAAUGGAUUAUUUAUAGUCUUGUUUAACUUUAUAUUUUAGACAUGUAGUAACAUACCAUAUUAGUUUAAAUCAGUUGUAAAAUUAAAAAUGUUAACAUCUUCGAUAGGUAUAUUUAUUUAGAUUAUUUACAGCUAAGUUUACAUGGCUAGUUAAUAUGCUUUUAUAAAUUGCAAUUUUUAUUAAUUUUCAAAUUAAACAUGUGGCAUCCAAUAUCAUAAACUAAGAUAAUACUGGUGUGUUUAUGUUAUUUUAGAAUUUUUUGUUUUAGACACAUGACAUUUGUUAUCCCACUAAUUUGCUGCUUUAGAGGCAUGGCAUUUAGUGUCACAUUAAUUUACUGUUUUAGACAUGUGGCAUGUGGUAUCCCACUACACUUGGUAUAAGCUGUCAUACUACACGUGGCAUGUGGUAUCCCACAAAUUAGCAAUUUAAACAUGUGACAAGUGGUAUGAUACUGUAUUGAUCUAUGUGAAAUGUAUAGAGUCUUUCAAUUAUCAGAUAAUGUCAAGGGAUUUGACAGCAUGGUGUCCGAUUUAAAGUGCGAACCUGUGUACGAGUAACAACAGUAUUCAAAACCAAAACCUAUUUACACCAACCAAACCAAAACUAGCGACCAAAAACUAUCUUGGCAUUGGUUUAUUUUAAACAUCUAUUAUAUAUAUGUGUGUUUUUUAUAUAAAUGUACUAGAUUUAGUAUA